This is a long non-coding RNA of Ceratitis capitata (Mediterranean fruit fly), 1111 nucleotides long. RefSeq lists it as uncharacterized. The transcript has 5 exons. NCBI's taxonomy places the organism in Eukaryota, Metazoa, Arthropoda, Insecta, Diptera, Tephritidae. The record is from RefSeq and is a predicted model, not a curated record.
GAUUCAUAUUAACACUUCUGGAAAAAUUAAAACAAAGAUGUAAUAUUAUACCAGACUCGUUAGCCGCCCCAUUUUUUAAAUUUAAUGAUAUACGUUUUUGAGCUGCAAACUUAACCUUUUGGUAUUAAGAGAAGUGAAUUUAUGGGAUAGUUAAAUUACACAAUAACUGUAAGAAGGAAGCUGUGGUUUUUUCUUCUAAAUGACACUUACGUAAUACCACCACCGCAACAGUAGCUUUGAAUAAAACACAUAAAUACACAUUUAUUGGUGCUUUACAUUUUGCACAGCAUUCGCCAAACCUGUGACUGUGGUGGACGUGGGAUGUACUUCAACGGUUGUCUUAACCUUGAAAACCUUGGGUACUAGUAUUUUAAAGGAGCUUACCCCACACAGAAGUGCUAAUCAAACUUAAAGUAAUGCAAUUUCAUGUUAAUCUAGGCGCAAAGCUAACGACGUCCUGCUCCAUUUCUGGGAAAGAAAAAUACUUGUGCUUAUUUAGGCAAAAAGAGUCCUCGUAAAAAAAUUCAAGUAAGGAGGAAAAGGUAGUACAUUGUGGAGCGAUACCACAGCUGAAUUUUUAGCAAUUUUCAAAGAAUGGAUUUGAAACUAUCAUUAAAUGUAAAUUUUGAAUUACGUAAGAAUCUUCAACGGAAAAGUACUAAUUGGGAUCACUAUCAAACACCACAAGCGACCAAGUAUCUAAUAAUUAAAUACAAACAGACACAUAACCAAUAUACAAUAUGUACAUAUUUUACUUACUUUUCUACUCCUCGGAACGCUUCCGGCUCGAUUGUGACAAUUUUAUUUUCGUAUAAUAAUCAACAAGCGGAAGAGAUGUUUCAAUGCAGCAGAUGGUACCGUUUUCAUUUGAUUCUGUGAAACAUCCAACUGUAUUACUAUAUUGAAAUCAAAGCGUACCUAAAGAACUGAGUGCAUUCUCCUCAAUGGCUGCCAAACUGCUAUUAUGUAUAGUCAAAUGACGGAUGUCCAGUGCCAAGAAAACGAAGCCUUGCAAUUUGGGUGCAAUGUCGUUUUGCUCCGGACAUAUUUGCUGAGGCUGUGGAUUUGGUGCGCCCAAUUUCUGAUUCGCAUAUACCAGCGUGAAUAGUAC